AUGGAGGUAGAAGAGGCCUCUCAGGCUCGUAGGCAAGCGGAGGAGGCCGCCACGAAGCGGCUGGAGGUGGCGUUGUCCUCCAAGCAUGAUCUGAAGGUCACCCUUCAGAAGGAGCAUGAUUCAUGUCAUUCCCUUCGUAAAGAUCUUGAGAAGAACAAAAACCACCUGGGCUUGCUGGAACGCGAUUUAGAGGCUGCGGAGAGGAAGUUGUGGCAGCAAGCCGAUGCGACUCAUGAUGUUGAACAGAAGUACGCCCGACUCCAGAGGGAGAGCAUGGAGAAGACUACACAGCUCGCUGAGGCUCAACAAAAUUGCUCCAACUUAGAAGCUGCUGCCAAGGGUUCAUGCCAUGGCGUUGUUUUUGAGCGUCUUUUCACCUUUUUAGGUUGGAUUUUCUUUGACAUGUUUUAUGUGGCCUGUCUUGCAGCCCCCCUUCCUAAGAUCCAGAAUGAUGAUGUGGAGAUCCGACUCCAAGAGGUCGCAACAGUGGCUGAGAGGAUGAGGACAACGCUCCUUGUAUCGCGACAACCCUCAUCUCAAAUCUGA
Molecule: ribosomal RNA, 546 nt
Filed under: Triticum aestivum (bread wheat)
Lineage: Eukaryota; Viridiplantae; Streptophyta; Magnoliopsida; Poales; Poaceae
Description: partial small subunit ribosomal RNA
Source: RNAcentral